GACGAACCGUGCGAACGUUGUUCGGAUUCACUGGGCUUAAAGGGCGCGUAGGCGGCUUGCCAAGUCUGUGGUGAAAUCUUUCGGCUUAACCGGAAAAUGGCCGGAGAUACUGGCGAGCUCGAGGGAGGUAGGGGCAGUGGGAACUUCCAGUGGAGCGGUGAAAUGCGUUGAUAUUGGAAGGAACGCCGGUGGCGAAAGCGCACUGCUGGAUCUCUUUUGACGCUGAGGCGCGAAAGCUAGGGGAGCAAACGGG
RNAcentral lists this ribosomal RNA (253 nucleotides) under uncultured bacterium. Its description in RNAcentral is "partial 16S ribosomal RNA". It matches the Rfam family "Bacterial small subunit ribosomal RNA", at positions 524 to 776 of the family's 1533-position model. The record is from RNAcentral.